RNAcentral lists this ribosomal RNA (243 nucleotides) under uncultured bacterium. RNAcentral describes it as "partial 16S ribosomal RNA". It matches the Rfam family "Bacterial small subunit ribosomal RNA", at positions 92 to 334 of the family's 1533-position model. The record is from RNAcentral.
CGACCGGCGCACGGGUGAGUAACGCGUAUGCAACUUACCUAUCAGAGGGGGAUAGCCCGGCGAAAGUCGGAUUAAUACCCCAUGAAACAGGGGUCCCGCAUGGGAAUAUUUGCUAAAGAUUCAUCGCUGAUAGAUAGGCAUGCGUUCCAUUAGGCAGUUGGCGGGGUAACGGCCCACCAAACCGACGAUGGAUAGGGGUUCUGAGAGGAAGGUCCCCCACAUUGGUACUGAGACACGGACCAA